Molecule: ribosomal RNA, 301 nt
Filed under: uncultured bacterium
Lineage: Bacteria
Description: partial 16S ribosomal RNA
Rfam family: Bacterial small subunit ribosomal RNA
Source: RNAcentral
CAGCAGCCGCGGGAAUACAGAGGGUGCGAGCGUUAAUCGGAUUUACUGGGCGUAAAGCGUGCGUAGGCGGUUUGUUAAGACAGAUGUGAAAUCCCCGGGCUCAACCUGGGAACUGCAUUUGUGACUGGCAAGCUAGAGUCUGGCAGAGGGGGGUGGAAUUCCGCGUGUAGCAGUGAAAUGCGUAGAUAUGCGGAGGAACACCGAUGGCGAAGGCAGCCCCCUGGGCCAACACUGACGCUCAUGCACGAAAGCGUGGGGAGCAAACAGGAUUAGAUACCCCGGUAGUCCCUGUCUCUUAUAC